Molecule: transfer RNA, 72 nt
Filed under: Macrostemum radiatum
Lineage: Eukaryota; Metazoa; Arthropoda; Insecta; Trichoptera; Hydropsychidae
Description: tRNA-Lys
Source: RNAcentral
CAUUAAAUAACUUAAAUGUAAGUAAUGGUCUCUUAAACCAUCUUAUAAUAGAUUAACAACUAUUUUUAAUGA